This 714-nucleotide ribosomal RNA is filed under the name Streptococcus mutans. Its description in RNAcentral is "bacterial SSU rRNA". It matches the Rfam family "Bacterial small subunit ribosomal RNA", at positions 371 to 1075 of the family's 1533-position model. The record is from RNAcentral. Lineage: Bacteria; Bacillati; Bacillota; Bacilli; Lactobacillales; Streptococcaceae.
AUGGACGAAAGUCUGACCGAGCAACGCCGCGUGAGUGAAGAAGGUUCUCGGAUCGUAAAGCUCUGUUGUAAGUCAAGAACGUGUGUGAGAGUGGAAAGUUCACACAGUGACGGUAGCUUACCAGAAAGGGACGGCUAACUACGUGCCAGCAGCCCGCGGUAAUACGUAGGUCCCGAGCGUUGUCCGGAUUUAUUGGGCGUAAAGGGAGCGCAGGCGGUCAGGAAAGUCUGGAGUAAAAGGCUAUGGCUCAACCAUAGUGUGCUCUGGAAACUGUCUGACUUGAGUGCAGAAGGGGAGAGUGGAAUUCCAUGUGUAGCGGUGAAAUGCGUAGAUAUAUGGAGGAACACCAGUGGCGAAAGCGGCUCUCUGGUCUGUCACUGACGCUGAGGCUCGAAAGCGUGGGUAGCGAACAGGAUUAGAUACCCUGGUAGUCCACGCCGUAAGCGAUGAGUGCUAGGUGUUAGGCCCUUUCCGGGGCUUAGUGCCGGAGCUAACGCAAUAAGCACUCCGCCUGGGGAGUACGACCGCAAGGUUGAAACUCAAAGGAAUUGACGGGGGCCCGCACAAGCGGUGGAGCAUGUGGUUUAAUUCGAAGCAACGCGAAGAACCUUACCAGGUCUUGACAUCCCGAUGCUAUUCUUAGAGAUAGGAAGUUACUUCGGUACGUCGGAGACAGGUGGUGCAUGGUUGUCGUCAGCUCGUGUCGUGAGAUGU